UACAGAGGUCUCGAGCGUUGUUCGGAUUCAUUGGGCGUAAAGGGCGCGUAGGCGGCGCGGUAAGUCGGGUGUGAAAUCUCGGGGCUUAACUCCGAAACUGCAUUCGAUACUGCCGUGCUUGAGGACUGGAGAGGAGACUGGAAUUUACGGUGUAGCGGUGAAAUGCGUAGAUAUCGUAAGGAAGACCAGUGGCGAAGGCGGGUCUCUGGACAGUUCCUGACGCUGAGGCACGAAGGCCAGGGGAGCAAACGGG
This 253-nucleotide ribosomal RNA is filed under the name uncultured bacterium. RNAcentral's name for it is "partial 16S ribosomal RNA". It matches the Rfam family "Bacterial small subunit ribosomal RNA", at positions 524 to 776 of the family's 1533-position model. The record is from RNAcentral.